UCCUCCCCGGAGAGGUGUUGGUUACAGGAGGUUUAUCGGAUCCCAAUUCCCGGCGGCUGCCUGGUGUUCGCCCCUGCAGCCCGGUACAGCGCUGCAGUUUCCAAAAGGUCGGCAUUACCCGCUGAGGCUUGCAGCUCUUCCCUCCAAACAGAUACGGCUCACUGUUGUCCCUGCAUGUCCUAACUUGUGUUUGCCUGAAUGCGUUUAUAUGUCUCCUGCUUUCGAUAUUUGUAGAACUCUGAAGAACUAAAUCAUCAAAUCAACCUUGAAUUAUAUACAAACAUGAAGAAUGUCAGCAAUAUCUGGAUGAAUUUGAUCAAAGCGAUUAUUGCAGGACAGAGACCAAAUUCAAAAGUUGUCAAAUUAUACUUGUUUGGAGCAGUUUUGGCACUUUUCACCGCUUUCCUGGCAGUAACAGAGAUGAUACAUUCGAUAUUGCUUACUGCAGUUAAGGAUGAUGCCUUGCAAACAACGAAUGCUAUGUUUUCCAGACCGUCAGCACCUACACGAAGUUGUCUUCUAAUUAAAAGGAAGAACAGAGGCAGAUUUCAUGCCUCCUAAUUGGACAGAAAUUUUGCUACAAAUCAAGUAUGAAUAAUUACUGUAUCUGUAUUUCUCUGCUUUAAAAAAGCACAGUUUGAUGCUUGGAAUUUUAAAAAUGCUACAAAUUUCUUCUUUAUAGAAACCAACAAGGUUUGGCAACCAGUUUGACUGGACUUGUUAAUUGUUGUAGAAGAUCUACCUUUGAGCCACUGGCUAGUUAACAUACAGUAUUUACUUAUUGCAACUGAAUGUACUCACCUUUGAAGAGGCACAUAACUGCGCAUUCUUAGAUGUUGCCAGAUCUGCUGAGUUUUUCAAGCAAUUUCUGACUUGUUUAAGGGUGAUUUUACUGUUACUGGAUACCUGGCGAGCCCCUCAACUUGCCUUCAGAAAGGAGAGGUCUGCACUUUAGAAAGCAUCAGAUCUUUGUGGGCAGCUUUCCUUGUCAUCUUCAGUAAGCACAGGCAUGUCAACACAGCUGGCAAAAUCUAGCAUACAUCUGUGUGACAUUUCAGCAACCACUUGCCUUAAAUAUAGCACUUUUUUUACACCAUGGCCUAGUUUGCAUAUAGGCCAAGUUUUAGGUGCAUUGUUGUCUGUAAAUCUUUUAAAGCUUUGUUUUGAAUGUUGAGGAGAUUGUAGUGAUCAGAAACAGGCAAAUCUUACUUCUGUAUUUGAACGUACCUGUUUGUGAAUGACUGAAAAACUAAAUCCAUUUGUCAUCAGCAAUGAAAUUAAAGUGAACAUUUUAUGAAAAUAAUUUAAUUAAUAAUAGCCUGCAUAGUCUUGAUAGAUUUUACUUUGCCUGACUAAACUCCCAGACAAAAUUGGACCAGGAUCACAGCCACAUUAUAUAAUGUAUCCUUUCUUCAUAAGGACAUUUUAAAGUUAUUUUCAUACAAAUUCGCAUUAACAGAUGACAGAUAUUUUAAGAUACAGAGAACACUAGAAUAGUGCCUAGAAGCAACAAGAUAGUGGUUGAGAUUUCCAUUUUAGUGGGUGAGGAGUUGGAUCUGAGCUAGGCAUUAAUAUAGAGGUGAAAGUGAGUGAACUUAUCGUAGUAAGGACAUGAAAUAUGAAGCUCAGGCAUGAUAUUAAAAUGGUGUUGCAAACAAAACACACAGUACACAGGAUUAUGUUACUACUUUAGAUGUAUUUAAAUAUUGAGAUGUUAUUCUGAAAAUUACAUAGAGCCCCAGUCAUAAACAAGCUGGAGGGCCAAUGCAGUUCUGAUUAUUAAAGCAUAAGAGGGCAUGCAGUUUGAAGAUGGGAUGAGAGAGACCCCAGUUGUUUAAGAGAAAACAUUUGGAGAAUAAUUUGUUUAUUGGCCUCUUCAGCAUCAGAAAAAGAGCCCUGAACAGUACUCUGGAGAAUACAGAAUGCUUCAUAGGAUUAUAGGA
Stegostoma tigrinum is the source of this 1943-nucleotide long non-coding RNA. RefSeq lists it as uncharacterized. The record is from RefSeq and is a predicted model, not a curated record. NCBI's taxonomy places the organism in Eukaryota, Metazoa, Chordata, Chondrichthyes, Orectolobiformes, Stegostomatidae. The transcript has 5 exons.